This 502-nucleotide ribosomal RNA is filed under the name uncultured bacterium. Its description in RNAcentral is "bacterial SSU rRNA". It matches the Rfam family "Bacterial small subunit ribosomal RNA", at positions 32 to 510 of the family's 1533-position model. The record is from RNAcentral.
AAUCAACGCUGGCGGCGUGCCUAACACAUGCAAGUCGAACGCGAAAGGGGAGCAAUCCCUGAUUAGAGUGGCAAACGGGUGAGUAACACGUGGGUGACCUGCCUUCGAGUGGGGGAUAACCUUCCGAAAGGAGGGCUAAUACCGCAUGACAUACCGUGUUUGGAUACACGGAUAUCAAAGCCGGGGAUCGCAAGACCUGGCGCUUGGAGAGGGGCCCGCGUCCGAUUAGCAGUUGGUGAGGUAACGGCUCACCAAGGCUCCGAUCGGUAUCCGGCCUGAGAGGGCGGACGGACACACUGGAACUGAGACACGGUCCAGACUCCUACGGGAGGCAGCAGUGGGGAAUUGUUCGCAAUGGGCGAAAGCCUGACGACGCAACGCCGCGUGGAGGAUGAAGAAUUUCGGUUCGUAAACUCCUUUCGACCGAGAUGAAUACUCAUGGACCCAACACGUCCGUGAGCUGACAGUAUCGAGAGAAGAAGCCCCGGCUAACUCUGUGCCA